AUGCACGCUGGCGGCGUGCCUAAUACAUGCAAGUCGAGCGAACGGACGAGAAGCUUGCUUCUCUGAUGUUAGCGGCGGACGGGUGAGUAACACGUGGAUAACCUACCUAUAAGACUGGGAUAACUUCGGGAAACCGUAGCUAAUACCGGAUAAUAUUUUGAACCGCAUGGUUCAAAAGUGAAAGACGGUCUUGCUGUCACUUAUAGAUGGAUCCGCGCUGCAUUAGCUAGUUGGUAAGGUAACGGCUUACCGAGGCAACGAUGCAUAGCCGACCUGAGAGGGUGAUCGGCCACACUGGAACUGAGACACGGUCCAGACUCCUACGGGAGGCAGCAGUAGGGAAUCUUCCGCAAUGGGCGAAAGCCUGACGGAGCAACGCCGCGUGAGUGAUGAAGGUCUUCGGAUCGUAAAACUCUGUUAUUAGGGAAGAACAUAUGUGUAAGUAACUGUGCACAUCUUGACGGUACCUAAUCAGAAAGCCACGGCUAACUACGUG
Molecule: ribosomal RNA, 496 nt
Filed under: uncultured bacterium
Lineage: Bacteria
Description: partial 16S ribosomal RNA
Rfam family: Bacterial small subunit ribosomal RNA
Source: RNAcentral